Molecule: ribosomal RNA, 466 nt
Filed under: Vreelandella stevensii
Lineage: Bacteria; Pseudomonadati; Pseudomonadota; Gammaproteobacteria; Oceanospirillales; Halomonadaceae
Description: partial 16S ribosomal RNA
Rfam family: Bacterial small subunit ribosomal RNA
Source: RNAcentral
CCUACGGGGGGCAGCAGUGGGGAAUAUUGGACAAUGGGGGCAACCCUGAUCCAGCCAUGCCGCGUGUGUGAAGAAGGCCCUCGGGUUGUAAAGCACUUUCAGUGAGGAAGAACGCCUGGUGGUUAAUACCCAUCAGGAAAGACAUCACUCACAGAAGAAGCACCGGCUAACUCCGUGCCAGCAGCCGCGGUAAUACGGAGGGGUGCGAGCGUUAAUCGGAAUUACUGGGCGUAAAGCGCGCGUAGGUGGCUUGAUAAGCCGGUUGUGAAAGCCCCGGGCUCAACCUGGGAACGGCAUCCGGAACUGUCAAGCUAGAGUGCAGGAGAGGAAGGUAGAAUUCCCGGUGUAGCGGUGAAAUGCGUAGAGAUCGGGAGGAAUACCAGUGGCGAAGGCGGCCUUCUGGACUGACACUGACACUGAGGUGCGAAAGCGUGGGUAGCAAACAGGAUUAGAUACCCCGGUAGUC